This 469-nucleotide ribosomal RNA is filed under the name uncultured bacterium. RNAcentral's name for it is "bacterial SSU rRNA". It matches the Rfam family "Bacterial small subunit ribosomal RNA", at positions 355 to 825 of the family's 1533-position model. The record is from RNAcentral.
UCGAGAAUCUUCCGCAAUGGGCGCAAGCCUGACGGAGCGACACCGCGUGCAGGAUGAAGGCCUUCGGGUUGUAAACUGCUGUCACGCUUUCGGAAUACCCGAAUGUAAAUAGCAUCCGGAUUGACCAGGGCGAAAGGAAGCACCGGCUAACUCUGUGCCAGCAGCCGCGGUAAGACAGAGGGUGCAAACGUUGUUCGGAAUUACUGGGCGUAAAGCGCACGUAGGUGGGCAGUUAAGUCAGGGGUGAAAGCCCGAGGCUCAACCUCGGAAUUGCCUCUGAUACUGGCUGUCUAGAGUUCGAGAGAGGUGAGUGGAAUUCCUAGUGUAGAGGUGAAAUUCGUAGAUAUUAGGAAGAACACCGGUGGCGAAGGCGGCUCACUGGCUCGAUACUGACACUGAGGUGCGAAAGCGUGGGGAGCAAACAGGAUUAGAUACCCGUGUAGUCCCUGAGCGGGCUGGCAAGGCGCAU